RNAcentral lists this ribosomal RNA (274 nucleotides) under uncultured bacterium. RNAcentral describes it as "partial 16S ribosomal RNA". It matches the Rfam family "Bacterial small subunit ribosomal RNA", at positions 523 to 796 of the family's 1533-position model. The record is from RNAcentral.
AUACGGAGGGUGCAAGCGUUACUCGGAAUCACUGGGCGUAAAGCGCGCGCAGGCGGCCAUUUAAGUUGGAUGUGAAAGCCUACGGCUCAACCGUAGAACUGCAUCCAAAACUAUUUGGCUAGAGUGUGGGAGAGGAAGAUGGAAUUAGUUGUGUAGGGGUAAAAUCUGUAGAGAUAACUAGGAAUACCAAAAGCGAAGGCAAUCUUCUGGAACAUUACUGACGCUGAGGCGCGAAAGCGUGGGGAGCAAACAGGAUUAGAAACCCCGGUAGUCC